Molecule: ribosomal RNA, 101 nt
Filed under: Leptospira borgpetersenii serovar Ballum
Lineage: Bacteria; Pseudomonadati; Spirochaetota; Leptospiria; Leptospirales; Leptospiraceae
Also listed under: 1 other name
Description: partial 23S ribosomal RNA
Rfam family: Bacterial large subunit ribosomal RNA
Source: RNAcentral
GGUUAAGCGAACAAGCGUACACGGUGGAUGCCCUGGCAGUCAGAGGCGAUGAAGGACGUGCUAAUCUGCGAAAAGCGCCGGUAAGGUGAUAUGAACCGUUA